This 567-nucleotide ribosomal RNA is filed under the name uncultured bacterium. RNAcentral describes it as "partial 16S ribosomal RNA". It matches the Rfam family "Bacterial small subunit ribosomal RNA", at positions 355 to 912 of the family's 1533-position model. The record is from RNAcentral.
UGGGGAAUAUUGCACAAUGGGCGCAAGCCUGAUGCAGCCAUGCCGCGUGUGUGAAGAAGGCCUUCGGGUUGUAAAGCACUUUCAGCGAGGAGGAAGGUGGUGAGCUUAAUACGCUCAUCAAUUGACGUUACUCGCAGAAGAAGCACCGGCUAACUCCGUGCCAGCAGCCGCGGUAAUACGGAGGGUGCAAGCGUUAAUCGGAAUUACUGGGCGUAAAGCGCACGCAGGCGGUUUGUUAAGUCAGAUGUGAAAUCCCCGGGCUCAACCUGGGAACUGCAUUUGAAACUGGCAAGCUAGAGUCUCGUAGAGGGGGGUAGAAUUCCAGGUGUAGCGGUGAAAUGCGUAGAGAUCUGGAGGAAUACCGGUGGCGAAGGCGGCCCCCUGGACGAAGACUGACGCUCAGGUGCGAAAGCGUGGGGCAGCAAACAGGAUUAGAUACCCUGGUAGUCCACGCUGUAAACGAUGUCGAUUUUGGAGGUUGUGCCCUUGAGGCGUGGCUUCCGGAGCUAGCGCGUUAAAUCGACCGCCUGGGGAGUACGGCCGCAAGGUUAAAACUCAAAUGAAUUG